UGGAUCCAGACUUUGAUCAUGGCUCAGGAUGAACGCUAGCUACAGGCCUAACACAUGCAAGUCGAGGGGCAUCAUGGGGGUCGCUUGCGACCCCUGAUGGCGACCGGCGAAUGGGUGAGUAACGCGUAUCCAACCCGCCCCGCGCCCGGGGAUAGCCCUUGGAAAUGAGGAUUAAGACCCGAUAUGUGCCCUGGCCGCAUGGCCGGGACAUGAAGCAGACGCGGGAUGGGGAUGCGUUGGAUUAGCCAGCCGGCAGGGCAGCGGCCUACCGGGGCGACGAUCCAUAGGGGUUCUGAGAGGAAGGUCCCCCACACUGGCACUGAGACACGGGCCAGACUCCUACGGGAGGCAGCAGUGAGGAAUAUUGGUCAAUGGGCGAGAGCCUGAACCAGCCAAGUAGCGUGCAGGAUGACGGCCCUACGGGUUGUAAACUGCCUUUGCGGGAGAAUAACCGGCGCCACGCGUGGCGCCCUGCAGGUAUCCCGUGAAUAAGGACCGGCUAAUUCCGUGCCAGCAGCCGCGGUAAUACGGAAGGUCCGGGCGUUAUCCGGAUUUAUUGGGUUUAAAGGGAGCGCAGGCGGAGGAUCAAGCCAGCCGUGAAAUGGCGGCGCUCAACGCCGUCCGGCGGUUGGAACUGGUCCCCUUGAUUGCGGGAGAGGAAGGCGGAACUCGUGGUGUAGCGGUGAAAUGCAUAGAUAUCACGAAGAACCCCGAUUGCGAAGGCAGCCUUCCGGCCCGUGAAUGACGCUCAUGCUCGAAGGCGCGGGUAUCAAACAGGAUUAGAUACCCUGGUAGUCCGCGCGGUAAACGAUGAAUGCUCGGGAUUCGGGCUUUAUGUCUGAGUCCCCCAGCGAAAGCGUUAAGCAUUCCACCUGGGGAGUACGCCGGCAACGGUGCAACUCAAAUGAAUUGACGGA
This 917-nucleotide ribosomal RNA is filed under the name uncultured Bacteroidota bacterium. RNAcentral describes it as "bacterial SSU rRNA". It matches the Rfam family "Bacterial small subunit ribosomal RNA", at positions 1 to 917 of the family's 1533-position model. Lineage: Bacteria; Pseudomonadati; Bacteroidota. The record is from RNAcentral.